This 497-nucleotide ribosomal RNA is filed under the name uncultured bacterium. RNAcentral describes it as "partial 16S ribosomal RNA". It matches the Rfam family "Bacterial small subunit ribosomal RNA", at positions 28 to 507 of the family's 1533-position model. The record is from RNAcentral.
GAUGAACGCUGGCGGCGUGCCUAAUACAUGCAAGUCGAGCGAACAGACGAGGAGCUUGCUCCUCUGACGUUAGCGGCGGACGGGUGAGUAACACGUGGAUAACCUACCUAUAAGACUGGGAUAACUUCGGGAAACCGGAGCUAAUACCGGAUAAUAUAUUGAACCGCAUGGUUCAAUAGUGAAAGACGGUUUUGCUGUCACUUAUAGAUGGAUCCGCGCCGAAUUAGCUAGUUGGUAAGGUAACGGCUUACCAAGGCAACGAUGCGUAGCCCACCUGAAAGUGUGGUAGGCCACACUGUACCUGAGAUAGGGUCCAGACAACUACGGGAGGCAGAAGUAGGGAAUCGGACGAAAUGAGGGGAAGCAAGACGGAGGAAACGCGCGUGAAGGACUAAGUUAGUUGGAACGUAAAACUCGUUUAUGGGGGAGGAACAAAUGUGGAAGUAAUAAUGCACGUCUGGAUGGUACCUGAUCAGAAUGCCACGGAUAACUACGUG